AAGUCGUAACAAGGUCUCCGUUGGUGAACCAGCGGAGGGAUCAUUACCGAGUUUACAAACUCCCAAACCCUUUGUGAACCUUACCUAUCGUUGCUUCGGCGGGAUCGCCCCGGCGCCCUCGGGCCCGGAACCAGGCGCCCGCCGGAGGCCCCAAACUCUUAUGUCUUUAGUGGUUUUCUCCUCUGAGUGACACAUAAACAAAUAAAUAAAAACUUUCAACAACGGAUCUCUUGGUUCUG
RNAcentral lists this unclassified non-coding RNA (239 nucleotides) under Myrothecium sp. RNAcentral describes it as "partial internal transcribed spacer region". The stretch from base 1 to 46 matches the Rfam family "Eukaryotic small subunit ribosomal RNA", at positions 1786 to 1831 of the family's 1831-position model. The record is from RNAcentral. Lineage: Eukaryota; Fungi; Ascomycota; Sordariomycetes; Hypocreales; Stachybotryaceae.